Long non-coding RNA from Oreochromis aureus, 1017 nucleotides. Lineage: Eukaryota; Metazoa; Chordata; Actinopteri; Cichliformes; Cichlidae. The record is from Ensembl.
GGAACGCAGGCAUCUGUUUAAAGCAAAUGGAUUUAAUUUUAACAAAUGCCUGCGUUCCCAAAAAAUAUUAAAGUUGUUGAUAAAAUGCACUGAGUGGUCAGUACAUGCUGAUAUGAGCCAUUUAUUCAGUGCAAACAACCUGCUGAAUCUCUCGUCUCCCCCUCUGACGGGCGGUACAGGUCCACUGAUGAAUACAGCUGCAUUCAGAGAGUUUACAGUGUUUAAUAAUCCAGUAAAGUCCCGUUUCAGAACCUCCGACUGUUGUUUGGACACAUCGUUUGACCCUGUAUGCAGAACAAUGUUUGUCACGGUUGGAUAUUCAUCUGCAAUUUGAAGAAUUCUCUCCUUCAGGUUGUUGAUCAUAUCCUUAGGAAAGCAGAGGACUUUAGUGUUCUUACCGCACAUCCUUUGUGCAUCCUUUACGGCAGAGUCACCCACAAUCAGAGUUUCAGGCCUAGCCUUUAGUUUUCCCUGUGGCCUUUUACUUUUCAACAGAUUUUCAGACCUUACUUCGCUACUUUUAGAUGGAUGGUUGUCCGAUAUAGAUCCAGGGUCCUUUGAUAGUGGAGCAAAUCUGUUCUGCAGUUUCACAUUCAGUUGUUUUGGAGGUUUGUUGUUAACCUUCCUAUUCACGGUUGUCCAGUCCUGUUUCCUCCCGUAUACAGGGGUAGAAGAGCUUCUCUGUCUUGUAGGAAGUGAAGGCCAGUCGGUUUCAGAGAUUUCAGCUCGCUGUGCUCUGCCUGUGAUACGUCCUCCCCCUUCCAGGAGACAUGAUUUAUGCCUUGGUUUUGCACCAAGACAGUCCAAGGGGGGAUUAUCGCUUGAGGAUUUAUAAUAAUGCACAGAGUCUACUUUCUUGGUCAUGUUAUCUGUGCUCCUUAGCUGUGUAUUAGCUUGCUCAUCGCCAUUGUUUUGAAUCAAAGGCAAGGUUGUUUCAUUUCCGCACAGUCCAUUUACCUCCACGUUUACUUCUAAGCGAUGAAUUUUUGUCUCCAGUACUGCAAUCUUCUGCAGGAG